Molecule: ribosomal RNA, 1360 nt
Filed under: uncultured bacterium
Lineage: Bacteria
Description: bacterial SSU rRNA
Rfam family: Bacterial small subunit ribosomal RNA
Source: RNAcentral
GGUGAACGCUAGCUACAGGCUUAACACAUGCAAGUCGAGGGGCAGCAUUUUAGUUUUGCUUGCAAACUGAAGAUGGCGACCGGCGCACGGGUGAGUAACACGUAUCCAACCUGCCGAUAACUCCGGAAUAGCCUUUCGAAAGAAAGAUUAAUACCGGAUAGCAUACGAAUAUCGCAUGAUAUUUUUAUUAAAGAAUUUCGGUUAUCGAUGGGGAUGCGUUCCAUUAGUUUGUUGGCGGGGUAACGGCCCACCAAGACUACGAUGGAUAGGGGUUCUGAGAGGAAGGUCCCCCACAUUGGAACUGAGACACGGUCCAAACUCCUACGGGAGGCAGCAGUGAGGAAUAUUGGUCAAUGGGCGAGAGCCUGAACCAGCCAAGUAGCGUGAAGGAUGAAGGCUCUAUGGGUCGUAAACUUCUUUUAUAUGGGAAUAAAGUUUUCCACGUGUGGAAUUUUGUAUGUACCAUAUGAAUAAGGAUCGGCUAACUCCGUGCCAGCAGCCGCGGUAAUACGGAGGAUCCGAGCGUUAUCCGGAUUUAUUGGGUUUAAAGGGAGCGUAGGUGGAUUGUUAAGUCAGUUGUGAAAGUUUGCGGCUCAACCGUAAAAUUGCAGUUGAAACUGGCAGUCUUGAGUACAGUAGAGGUGGGCGGAAUUCGUGGUGUAGCGGUGAAAUGCUUAGAUAUCACGAAGAACUCCGAUUGCGAAGGCAGCUCACUAGACUGUCACUGACACUGAUGCUCGAAAGUGUGGGUAUCAAACAGGAUUAGAUACCCUGGUAGUCCACACAGUAAACGAUGAAUACUCGCUGUUUGCGAUAUACAGUAAGCGGCCAAGCGAAAGCAUUAAGUAUUCCACCUGGGGAGUACGCCGGCAACGGUGAAACUCAAAGGAAUUGACGGGGGCCCGCACAAGCGGAGGAACAUGUGGUUUAAUUCGAUGAUACGCGAGGAACCUUACCCGGGCUUAAAUUGCAACAGAAUAUAUUGGAAACAGUAUAGCCGUAAGGCUGUUGUGAAGGUGCUGCAUGGUUGUCGUCAGCUCGUGCCGUGAGGUGUCGGCUUAAGUGCCAUAACGAGCGCAACCCUUAUCUUUAGUUACUAACAGGUCAUGCUGAGGACUCUAGAGAGACUGCCGUCGUAAGAUGUGAGGAAGGUGGGGAUGACGUCAAAUCAGCACGGCCCUUACGUCCGGGGCUACACACGUGUUACAAUGGGGGGUACAGAAGGCGGCUACCUGGUGACAGGAUGCUAAUCCCAAAAACCUCUCUCAGUUCGGAUCGAAGUCUGCAACCCGACUUCAUGAAGCUGGAUUCGCUAGUAAUCGCGCAUCAGCCAUGGCGCGGUGAAUACGUUCCCGGGCCU